UAGUGAGUUUGAUCCUGGCUCAGGAUGAACGCUAGCGGCAGGCCUAAUACAUGCAAGUCGAACGGGUGGUAGCAAUACCACUAGUGGCGCACGGGUGCGUAACGCGUAACCAACCUGCCCUUGACUGGGGGAUAGCCCGCCGAAAGGCGGAUUAAUACCGCAUAAACUCACAGUAUGGCAUCAUACAAUGAGUAAAGAUUUAUUGGUCAAGGAUGGGGGUUGCGUGACAUUAGCUAGUUGGCGGGGUAACGGCCC
This 255-nucleotide ribosomal RNA is filed under the name uncultured Hymenobacter sp. RNAcentral describes it as "partial 16S ribosomal RNA". It matches the Rfam family "Bacterial small subunit ribosomal RNA", at positions 1 to 266 of the family's 1533-position model. The record is from RNAcentral. Lineage: Bacteria; Pseudomonadati; Bacteroidota; Cytophagia; Cytophagales; Hymenobacteraceae.